RNAcentral lists this transfer RNA (74 nucleotides) under Candidatus Omnitrophota bacterium. RNAcentral describes it as "tRNA-Val". It matches the Rfam family "tRNA". From Rfam's summary of the family: Transfer RNA (tRNA) molecules are approximately 80 nucleotides in length. Their secondary structure includes four short double-helical elements and three loops (D, anti-codon, and T loops). The record is from RNAcentral. Lineage: Bacteria; Pseudomonadati; Candidatus Omnitrophota.
GGGCUCAUAGCUCAGCUGGUUAGAGCGUUUCCUUGACAUGGAAAAGGUCAGGGGUUCGAAUCCUCUUGGGCCCA